UUAAGCGACUAAGCGUACACGGUGGAUGCCCUGGCAGUCAGAGGCGAUGAAGGACGUGCUAAUCUGCGAUAAGCGUCGGUAAGGUGAUAUGAACCGUUAUAACCGGCGAUUUCCGAAUGGGGAAACCCAGUGUGAUUCGUCACACUAUCAUUAACUGAAUCCAUAGGUUAAUGAGGCGAACCGGGGGAACUGAAACAUCUAAGUACCCCGAGGAAAAGAAAUCAACCGAGAUUCCCCAGUAGCGGCGAGCGAACGGGGAGCAGCCCAGAGCCUGAAUCAGUAUGUGUGUUAGUGGAAGCGUCUGGAAAGGCGCGCGAUACAGGGUGACAGCCCCGUACACAAAAAUGCACAUGCUGUGAGCUCGAUGAGUAGGGCGGGACACGUGGUAUCCUGUCUGAAUAUGGGGGACCAUCCUCCAAGGCUAAAUACUCCUGACUGACCGAUAGUGAACCAGUACCGUGAGGGAAAGGCGAAAAGAACCCCGGCGAGGGGAGUGAAAAAGAACCUGAAACCGUGUACGUACAAGCAGUGGGAGCACAGAGCAAUCUGUGUGACUGCGUACCUUUUGUAUAAUGGGUCAGCGACUUAUAUUCUGUAGCAAGGUUAACCGAAUAGGGGAGCCGAAGGGAAACCGAGUCUUAACUGGGCGUUAAGUUGCAGGGUAUAGACCCGAAACCCGGUGAUCUAGCCAUGGGCAGGUUGAAGGUUGGGUAACACUAACUGGAGGACCGAACCGACUAAUGUUGAAAAAUUAGCGGAUGACUUGUGGCUGGGGGUGAAAGGCCAAUCAAACCGGGAGAUAGCUGGUUCUCCCCGAAAGCUAUUUAGGUAGCGCCUCGUGAAUUCAUCUCCGGGGGUAGAGCACUGUUUCGGCAAGGGGGUCAUCCCGACUUACCAACCCGAUGCAAACUGCGAAUACCGGAGAAUGUUAUCACGGGAGACACACGGCGGGUGCUAACGUCCGUCGUGAAGAGGGAAACAACCCAGACCGCCAGCUAAGGUCCCAAAGUCAUGGUUAAGUGGGAAACGAUGUGGGAAGGCCCAGACAGCCAGGAUGUUGGCUUAGAAGCAGCCAUCAUUUAAAGAAAGCGUAAUAGCUCACUGGUCGAGUCGGCCUGCGCGGAAGAUGUAACGGGGCUAAACCAUGCACCGAAGCUGCGGCAGCGACGCUGAUGCGUUGUUGGGUAGGGGAGCGUUCUGUAAGCCUGUGAAGGUGUGCUGUGAGGCAUGCUGGAGGUAUCAGAAGUGCGAAUGCUGACAUAAGUAACGAUAAAGCGGGUGAAAAGCCCGCUCGCCGGAAGACCAAGGGUUCCUGUCCAACGUUAAUCGGGGCAGGGUGAGUCGACCCCUAAGGCGAGGCCGAAAGGCGUAGUCGAUGGGAAACAGGUUAAUAUUCCUGUACUUGGUGUUACUGCGAAGGGGGGACGGAGAAGGCUAUGUUGGCCGGGCGACGGUUGUCCCGGUUUAAGCGUGUAGGCUGGUUUUCCAGGCAAAUCCGGAAAACUAAGGCUGAGGCGUGAUGACGAGGCACUACGGUGCUGAAGCAACAAAUGCCCUGCUUCCAGGAAAAGCCUCUAAGCAUCAGGUAACAUCAAAUCGUACCCCAAACCGACACAGGUGGUCAGGUAGAGAAUACCAAGGCGCUUGAGAGAACUCGGGUGAAGGAACUAGGCAAAAUGGUGCCGUAACUUCGGGAGAAGGCACGCUGAUAUGUAGGUGAAGUCCCUCGCGGAUGGAGCUGAAAUCAGUCGAAGAUACCAGCUGGCUGCAACUGUUUAUUAAAAACACAGCACUGUGCAAACACGAAAGUGGACGUAUACGGUGUGACGCCUGCCCGGUGCCGGAAGGUUAAUUGAUGGGGUCAGCGCAAGCGAAGCUCUUGAUCGAAGCCCCGGUAAACGGCGGCCGUAACUAUAACGGUCCUAAGGUAGCGAAAUUCCUUGUCGGGUAAGUUCCGACCUGCACGAAUGGCGUAAUGAUGGCCAGGCUGUCUCCACCCGAGACUCAGUGAAAUUGAACUCGCUGUGAAGAUGCAGUGUACCCGCGGCAAGACGGAAAGACCCCGUGAACCUUUACUAUAGCUUGACACUGAACAUUGAGCCUUGAUGUGUAGGAUAGGUGGGAGGCUUUGAAGUGUGGACGCCAGUCUGCAUGGAGCCGACCUUGAAAUACCACCCUUUAAUGUUUGAUGUUCUAACGUUGACCCGUAAUCCGGGUUGCGGACAGUGUCUGGUGGGUAGUUUGACUGGGGCGGUCUCCUCCUAAAGAGUAACGGAGGAGCACGAAGGUUGGCUAAUCCUGGUCGGACAUCAGGAGGUUAGUGCAAUGGCAUAAGCCAGCUUGACUGCGAGCGUGACGGCGCGAGCAGGUGCGAAAGCAGGUCAUAGUGAUCCGGUGGUUCUGAAUGGAAGGGCCAUCGCUCAACGGAUAAAAGGUACUCCGGGGAUAACAGGCUGAUACCGCCCAAGAGUUCAUAUCGACGGCGGUGUUUGGCACCUCGAUGUCGGCUCAUCACAUCCUGGGGCUGAAGUAGGUCCCAAGGGUAUGGCUGUUCGCCAUUUAAAGUGGUACGCGAGCUGGGUUUAGAACGUCGUGAGACAGUUCGGUCCCUAUCUGCCGUGGGCGCUGGAGAACUGAGGGGGGCUGCUCCUAGUACGAGAGGACCGGAGUGGACGCAUCACUGGUGUUCGGGUUGUCAUGCCAAUGGCACUGCCCGGUAGCUAAAUGCGGAAGAGAUAAGUGCUGAAAGCAUCUAAGCACGAAACUUGCCCCGAGAUGAGUUCUCCCUGACUCCUUGAGAGUCCUGAAGGAACGUUGAAGACGACGACGUUGAUAGGCCGGAUGUGUAAGCGCAGCGAUGCGUUGAGCUAACCGGUACUAAUGAACCGUGAGGCUUAACCUU
Molecule: ribosomal RNA, 2902 nt
Filed under: Escherichia coli
Lineage: Bacteria; Pseudomonadati; Pseudomonadota; Gammaproteobacteria; Enterobacterales; Enterobacteriaceae
Description: bacterial LSU rRNA
Rfam family: Bacterial large subunit ribosomal RNA
Source: RNAcentral